RNAcentral lists this long non-coding RNA (588 nucleotides) under Elaeis guineensis (African oil palm). RNAcentral describes it as "long non-coding RNA (EGUI_LNC022997)". Lineage: Eukaryota; Viridiplantae; Streptophyta; Magnoliopsida; Arecales; Arecaceae. The record is from RNAcentral.
CUUUCACUCACCAAUUAAAGUCUCUUUACUGAAAAUUAAAUUUAGUCUCCGAUCACUACACUUAUUGAGUUAGAAUUAAUGUUCUUCACUAGUAUCAAAAUAAUCCAAACCAUCAUACUCUUGUUAUGCACUCUGAUCUAAAUUUAUCGAAUUAUGUAGGUUUAUCAAAAAAAUUUUGAUAAGAAUACCACUAUACAUUAGAAUCUAAAAAAGAUUUAAUCUUUCAAAUUUUUAGAUAGAACUAAAGUAAAACUUUGAGUUUCUUUAUCUUUAUUAUGCCUCAAGCAUACCAUAUCAAAUUUAAAUCUUGAUCCACUUUCUAUGUUCGAAAUCAUUACAUAAGCUUCCACUGCUCGUCUAGAACCCAAUACAUCUAGAAUAAUUUGAAAUGAGUUAAUCUUGAAUUUACCUAACAAUCAAUGGGACAAUUCUAAAUCAACAUUUUUUUAUAAAAAGAUCAGAUCUAAUCUCAAAUAAAUUAAAAGAUCUCAAAUCAAUAUCUCAAUGAGUAGAAUCAAUCUGAUUAUUUCUCAUAAAGCUUCUUUCACCUUGAUCCUUAGCACAUAUCGACAAAUCUAGUUGUAAUCC